Molecule: unclassified non-coding RNA, 289 nt
Filed under: Hevea brasiliensis (rubber tree)
Lineage: Eukaryota; Viridiplantae; Streptophyta; Magnoliopsida; Malpighiales; Euphorbiaceae
Source: RNAcentral
AAGCAAAAAAAUAUGCAAUUUCCAAUAUAGCAUAAAACAUUGAGGGAACAAUUAACCUGCUUUAUUCUACACAAUUUAAACCCAUAUGAAAAGUAACAAAGGCUCAAUCUUCAGAGUCAGCACUAUUAUUUUCACACAAAAGACUCAAUUUUUAGUACUCUUCUUAUAAAAGAAACACAGAGGAAAACAAUUUCCCUGCGUUAAGUUUUUUUCACAGCGACCGUCAUAGGAAUAAACAGAAAGAAGCUGUUUAGAUUAAAAUCAACAAUAGUCCAGCCAUAUUUUUGAG